AUUAGAGUUUGAUCCUGGCUCAGGACGAACGCUUGCGGCGUGCCUAAGAAAUGCAAGUCGAGCGGUCCCGCAGCAAUGCGGGAUAGCGGCGAACGGUCGCGUAACACGUAAACAACCUGCCCCGAAGACCGGGACAACAUCUCGAAAGGGGUGCUAAUACCGGAUGUGGCCAUCGGAGGACAUCCUCUGGUGAUUAAACCGAGCAAUCGGCUUCGGGAGGGGCUUGCGGCCUAUCAGCUAGUUGGUGGGGUAACGGCCUACCAAGGCGACGACGGGUAGCUGGUCUGAGAGGACGGCCAGCCGGACUGGGACUGAGAUACGGCCCAGACUCCUACGGGGGGCAGCAAUUAGGAAUCUUGCGCAAUGGGCGAAAGCCUGACGCAGCGACGCCGCGUGGAGGAGGAAGUCCCUCGGGAUGUAAACUCCUUUUGCCAGGGAAGAAACAAAUGACGGUACCUGGUGAAUAAGCCCCGGCUAACUACGUGCCAGCAGCCGCGGUAAUACGUAGGGGGCGAGCGUUGUCCGAAGUUACUGGGCGUAAAGCGCGCGUAGGCGGGGAAUUAAGUGAGAGGUGAAAGGCUGGGGCUCAACCUCAUGCAGUGCCUCUCAUACUGAUUUUCUUGAGGGCGGUAGGGAGAAGUGGAAUGGCUGGUGUAGCGGUGAAAUGCGUAGAUAUCAGUCGGAACACCGGUGGCGAAGGCGGCUUCUUGGGCCGUUCCUGACGCUGAGGCGCGAAAGCUGGGGGAGCGAACGGGAUUAGAUACCCCGGUAGUCCCAGCCGUAAACGAUGGAUACUAGGUGUCGGGGGUAUCGACCCCUCCGGUGCCGCAGCUAACGCAUUAAGUAUCCCGCCUGGGGAGUACGGCCGCAAGGUUGAAACUCAAAGGAAUUGACGGGGGCCCGCACAAGCGGUGGAGCAUGUUGUUUAAUACGUCACUAACCGUAGAACCUUACCAGGGCUUGACAUCCGGCGACCGGCGGUGAAAGCCGUUUUUCCUCGCAAGAGGACGCCGAGACAGGUGUUGCAUGGCUGUCGUCAGCUCGUGUCGUGAGAUGUUGGGUUAAGUCCCGCAACGAGCGCAACCCUCACCCCAUGUUGCCAGCGAGUCAUGUCGGGAACUCUUGGGGAACUGCCUGGGUAACCGGGAGGAAGGUGGGGACGACGUCAAGUCAGCAUGGCCCUUACGCCCUGGGCUACAAACAUGCUACAAUGGACGGUAGACAGAGGGAUCCGAGACCGCGAGGUGGAGGCAAUCUCAAAAAUCCGUUCCCAGUUCAGAUCGCAGGCUGCAACUCGCCUGCGUGAAGUUGGAAUCGCUAGUAACCGCAGAUCAGCUAAGCUGCGGUGAAUACGUUCCCGGGCCUUGUACACACCGCCCGUCACGUCACUUGAGUUGUCUGCACCCGAAGUCGGUGGGGUAACCCCCUUCUGAAGGAUGAAGGCGGAAGGCAGAAGGAUGAAUCAAGGCACACGCCGUUCAUUCAUCCUUCAUCCUUUAUCCUUCAUCCUUGGGAUGGGGGAACUAGCCGCCGAAGGUGUGGGGAGCGAGAGGGACGAAGUCGUAACAAGGUAGCCGUAAAU
RNAcentral lists this ribosomal RNA (1582 nucleotides) under uncultured bacterium. Its description in RNAcentral is "bacterial SSU rRNA". It matches the Rfam family "Bacterial small subunit ribosomal RNA". The record is from RNAcentral.